CCUACGGGGGGCAGCAGUGGGGAAUAUUGGACAAUGGGGGCAACCCUGAUCCAGCCAUGCCGCGUGUGUGAAGAAGGCCCUCGGGUUGUAAAGCACUUUCAGUGAGGAAGAACGCCUGGUGGUUAAUACCCAUCAGGAAAGACAUCACUCACAGAAGAAGCACCGGCUAACUCCGUGCCAGCAGCCGCGGUAAUACGGAGGGUGCGAGCGUUAAUCGGAAUUACUGGGCGUAAAGCGCGCGUAGGUGGCUUGAUAAGCCGGUUGUGAAAGCCCCGGGCUCAACCUGGGAGCGGCAUCCGGAACUGUCAAGCUAGAGGGCAGGAGAGGAAGGUAGAAUUCCCGGUGUAGCGGUGAAAUGCGUAGAGAUCGGGAGGAAUACCAGUGGCGAAGGCGGCCUUCUGGACUGACACUGACACUGAGGUGCGAAAGCGUGGGUAGCAAACAGGAUUAGAUACCCCUGUAGUC
Molecule: ribosomal RNA, 465 nt
Filed under: Vreelandella stevensii
Lineage: Bacteria; Pseudomonadati; Pseudomonadota; Gammaproteobacteria; Oceanospirillales; Halomonadaceae
Description: partial 16S ribosomal RNA
Rfam family: Bacterial small subunit ribosomal RNA
Source: RNAcentral